This 2317-nucleotide long non-coding RNA is filed under the name Paramuricea clavata. The record is from RNAcentral. Lineage: Eukaryota; Metazoa; Cnidaria; Anthozoa; Malacalcyonacea; Plexauridae.
CGUGACUCGAAAACUUGCAAAAACACUCGAAAACUUGCAAAUGUGCUCGAAAACCUAAAAAAUCGUCGAAUAAGAAAGAAAUCGUGGAUGUUUUGGACGGUAGCGGUCCUUUGCUGUACAUGGGAAGUGUUUUGUCUGAAUCGUGCGAGGAAUUGGAGAUAUUAAUGGAAUAUUUAUCUCUUGAAGACGAUGAUGGUGAGUGUUGACAUUUUAUAGCAAUAUGCCUUUGACUCUUUGACUGUAAAAAUAUAAUAUAGGCGAGAUUUUGAUUAGGUUUUCGUGUUUUAUACUGUUUCAUGAAAGUGAUUGUACCUUUACAAGUUCGUAAAAGCUGGGUAAAUGCUCUAUAAUACGGAUUAUUUUUAUUUAAUUCCGCAGAAUAAUUUCCACGUGCUAUUUUAUAUAAAUAAUAUAAAGUCAACAAGAAGUCCAACCUCGUACAAGAAGUCCUGCUCAGGGGAAACAUGAACUGAAUCGCUCUCGUCUAACCGUUUUGCCAAAAACGAAUAUAUUUUAUGUUGGUCUUAAGAGUUAAGCUAUUCUUUGUUUUUGCCAAAUGUGUAAGACUUUUCACUUUUGUUUAAAAUAGCAAUAUGUGAAGUAUGCAUGCUGAAUAAUAAUUUUUUUAAUGAAAAUUAUUUAGCCAAUGGGGAUCUCAGGUUCUAGCUCCUUGGUUAGUCGUCGGCAUUUGAGGUUUAGGAGUUCUGAACAGGCCUCCAUGUUAAGGAUUUAUUUUAACCUCUGUGUUUUACCUAGACCCCCCCCCCCCCUCAGGUUCAGCAUUACCACUUCAUCACCAGUAAAUAGGGUUGGGCAAUAUUUUGAUAUUAUCAAUGAUACACGAUGAUUGUACAUACUCAAGAUCAUCAUUAAUAUUGAAAGUAAAAGCUGAGUCGUCAUGGAGUUAUCGUGAACUAACAAAGCUUAAUCCAUCCCUGAAUUGGAAACCAAAAUUUCAUAUGGUGUGUAGGUAACAAUUGCAAGUGGAAUUAAUAGUUGAAACAACCUAUUUUCCCUCAUGCAUAUAUAACUUGAUGUGGUACGAGGCUAGCUAAACUAACAAUAACGAGGAGCCAACCAUGUUAAUUUCUUUUGAAAACAAAGUUGUCCAUGAGGUCAUAAAGACCCAAUACUUUAUUAUUUUGUUUGAUAAUUGCCAAGGAUUUUACACAGAAUCCCCUCCCCCAAUACCCCCAAGUGAAUCCAUCCCACUACUACACAAAAUCUACUUCUUUCCCUCUGAGUCAGAUUUUCAUAUUUUUGUUCGGGGGGAUGGAUAAAUAUCUGGGGGGGGUGCUGCUGCUUACUUUGGCCGGAGCGUGGUGGCAACGCCCGGAAAGGCCAAGGAAAAAGUUUAACAAAAUUUUUUUCUGGGCCUGCAUGGCGAGAUCUGAGACCAUAUUGGUAUUUUACAAAUUUAGUAGUAAGAAUAAUCAAAUAUGAAACUAUCAAAUCAAAAUAUAUGUAAUUUGCGCCCGGGUGUAUAUAUAUAUGUAAUUUGCCAAAUGCCUUUGGGGGUGCAUAUAAUUUCUGGGAGGGUGUGCACCCCCCACCCCCACCCCAGAAAAUCUGUGCCUGCUCUGAGUUAACAAUGAAAGCAUUUUUUUUACAGAUCUCUGCAAUAUUAUGUUUACAAGUUCCUUGAAGAUAUUAUUAUAAUUAAUGGUGACAUAUGUCUGUACAUUGUAGAGCAUUUUGUACAUAUUUUGUACUUACUGAGGCCAAAUAAAAAUAAUAGUUGGUUUCAGGUUUCACAGCCAUGUUUUAUAUGGGUAGGUAGGUCGGAAAAGCAUUUUAUUUAAAAAAAUAUUUUAUCUCAACUGUCACACAUAAUCAGACGUGCCACAUGGGAUCAACCGCGAGCUACACAUGUUUUGCGAGAAACAAAUGCAUCAAGGAUUAACAUAACUAGAUAAUGAUUAAAUUAUGAGCAAACAAAAUACUUUGAAGCAAAUGAGUCUGAUGACUAUUUAUAUAUUCUGAUAUUUACGAAAAGAUGAUCCCUACUGGGAAAUGUCAAUAAAAUGUUUAUGGUCGGUCAUAUUUUUGACAGGUCGGUCAGAAACCUGAAACCAACUAUUAUUUUUAUUUGGCCUGAGUACAUUUUUUAUUUUAUUCAGACAAUAGAUAAAUUUGUAUCAUAAUUAAAUUUGUAUCAAAAUCUGUAAUUUAAUAAAUAUUCAUUCCAUCUUGUUUCAUUUCUUGUUUUCUUUAGUAGCCUGCAAUUAAGAAAAAAUCUUCUUAGAAAAUCUGACAUUUUUGAAAACUUGUUACAUGUAUAUACACAAGGCUGUCGGAAGUGAAUCAAUAUUGGGAU